UACGUAGGGUGCAAGCGUUAAUCGGAAUUACUGGGCGUAAAGCGUGCGCAGGCGGUUGUGCAAGACAGAUGUGAAAUCCCCGGGCUUAACCUGGGAACUGCAUUUGUGACUGCAUCGCUGGAGUGCGGCAGAGGGGGAUGGAAUUCCGCGUGUAGCAGUGAAAUGCGUAGAUAUGCGGAGGAACACCGAUGGCGAAGGCAAUCCCCUGGGCCUGCACUGACGCUCAUGCACGAAAGCGUGGGGAUCAAACAGG
This 253-nucleotide ribosomal RNA is filed under the name uncultured bacterium. RNAcentral describes it as "partial 16S ribosomal RNA". It matches the Rfam family "Bacterial small subunit ribosomal RNA", at positions 524 to 776 of the family's 1533-position model. The record is from RNAcentral.